RNAcentral lists this ribosomal RNA (253 nucleotides) under Terribacillus saccharophilus. RNAcentral describes it as "partial 16S ribosomal RNA". It matches the Rfam family "Bacterial small subunit ribosomal RNA", at positions 1068 to 1322 of the family's 1533-position model. The record is from RNAcentral. Lineage: Bacteria; Bacillati; Bacillota; Bacilli; Caryophanales; Bacillaceae.
UGAGAUGUUGGGUUAAGUCCCGCAACGAGCGCAACCCUUGAUUCUAGUUGCCAGCAUUAAGUUGGGCACUCUAGAGUGACUGCCGGUGACAAACCGGAGGAAGGUGGGGAUGACGUCAAAUCAUCAUGCCCCUUAUGACCUGGGCUACACACGUGCUACAAUGGAUGGUACAAAGGGCAGCAAAGUCGCGAGGCUAAGCAAAUCCCAUAAAACCAUUCUCAGUUCGGAUUGCAGGCUGCAACUCGCCUGCAUG